CGAGUGGCGGACGGGUGAGUAAUACAUCGGANCGUGCCCNAUCGUGGGGGAUAACUACUCGAAAGAGUGGCUAAUNCCGCGUACNAUCUACUGAUGAAAGCGGGGGAUCGCAAGACCUCUCGCGGACGGAGCGGCCGAUGGCAGAUUAGGUAGUUGGUGGGAUAAAAGCUUACCAAGCCGACAAUCUGUAGCUGGUCUGAGAGGACAACCAGCCACACUGGGACUGAGACACGGCCCACACUCCUACGGGAGGCAGCAGUGGGGAAUUUUGGACAAUGGACGAAAGCCUGAUGCCGCAAUGCCCCGUGGAGGAUGACAGCUUUCGGGGUGUAAACUCCUUUUAUAUUGGAAGA
Molecule: ribosomal RNA, 353 nt
Filed under: uncultured bacterium
Lineage: Bacteria
Description: bacterial SSU rRNA
Rfam family: Bacterial small subunit ribosomal RNA
Source: RNAcentral